This 394-nucleotide ribosomal RNA is filed under the name uncultured bacterium. Its description in RNAcentral is "partial 16S ribosomal RNA". It matches the Rfam family "Bacterial small subunit ribosomal RNA", at positions 523 to 918 of the family's 1533-position model. The record is from RNAcentral.
AUACGGAGGAUGCAAGCGUUAUCCGGAUUUAUUGGGUUUAAAGGGUGCGUAGGCGGAUGAUUAAGCGUGAGGUGAAAUGCCACUGCUCAGCAGUGGAACUGCCUCGCGAACUGGUUGUCUUGAAUGCUCCUGCCGUGGGAGGAAUGUGUGGUGUAGCGGUGAAAUGCAUGGAGAUCACACAGAACACCGAUUGCGAAGGCAUCUCACGAAGGGGUGAUUGACGCUGAGGCACGAAGGCGUGGGGAUGAAACAGGAUUAGAUGCCCUGGUAGUCCACGCAGUAAACGAUGAUAACUAACCGCUGGGUCGUAGUGAUUCAGUGGCCAAGCGAAAGCGAUAAGUUAUCCACCUGGGGAGUACGACCGCAAGGUUGAAACUCAAAGGAAUUGACGGGG